This 388-nucleotide ribosomal RNA is filed under the name uncultured prokaryote. RNAcentral describes it as "bacterial SSU rRNA". It matches the Rfam family "Archaeal small subunit ribosomal RNA", at positions 339 to 727 of the family's 1478-position model. The record is from RNAcentral. RNAcentral also lists the same sequence under 1 other name.
GCGCGAAACCUCCGCAAUGUGAGAAAUCGCGACGGGGGGAUCCCAAGUGCCAUUCUUAACGGGAUGGCUUUUCAUUAGUGUAAAGAGCUUUUGGAAUAAGGGCUGGGCAAGACCGGUGCCAGCCGCCGCGGUAACACCGGCAGCUCGAGUGGUAGCUGUUUUUAUUGGGCCUAAAGCGUUCGUAGCCGGUUUAAUAAGUCUUUGGUGAAAGCUUGUAGCUUAACUAUAAGAAUUGCUGGAGAUACUAUUAGACUUGAAGUCGGGAGAGGUUAGAGGUACUACCGGGGUAGGGGUGAAAUCCUAUAAUCCUGGGAGGACCACCUGUGGCGAAGGCGUCUAACUGGAACGAUCUUGACGGUGAGUAACGAAAGCCAGGGGCGCGAACCGG